AUUGAACGCUGGCGGAAUGCUUUACACAUGCAAGUCGAGCGGCAGCGCGGGGGCAACCCUGGCGGCGAGCGGCGAACGGGUGAGUAACAUAUCGGAACGUACCCAGUCGUGGGGGAUAACUAUCCGAAAGGAUAGCUAAUACCGCAUACGACCCGAGGGUGAAAGCGGGGGACCGAAAGGCCUCGCGCGAUUGGAGCGGCCGAUAUCGGAUUAGCUAGUUGGUGAGGUAAAGGCUCACCAAGGCGACGAUCCGUAGCUGGUCUGAGAGGACGACCAGCCACACUGGAACUGAGACACGGUCCAGACUCCUACGGAGGCAGCAGUGGGGGAAUUUUGGACGAAUGGGGGCGAACCCUGAUCCAGCCAUUCCGCGUGAGUGAAGAAGGCCUUCGGUUGUCG
RNAcentral lists this ribosomal RNA (399 nucleotides) under uncultured bacterium. RNAcentral's name for it is "bacterial SSU rRNA". It matches the Rfam family "Bacterial small subunit ribosomal RNA", at positions 29 to 428 of the family's 1533-position model. The record is from RNAcentral.